RNAcentral lists this ribosomal RNA (473 nucleotides) under uncultured bacterium. RNAcentral's name for it is "SSU rRNA". It matches the Rfam family "Bacterial small subunit ribosomal RNA", at positions 26 to 518 of the family's 1533-position model. The record is from RNAcentral.
AGGACGAACGCUGGCGGCGUGCUUAACACAUGCAAGUCGAGCGGAAAGGCCCUUCGGGGUACUCGAGCGGCGAACGGGUGAGUAACACGUGAGUAACCUGGCCUCAGCUUUGGGAUAACCCUCGGAAACGGGGGCUAAUACCGGAUAUUCACUUCCUGUCGCAUGGUGGGGGGUGGAAAGUUUUUCGGCUGGGGAUGGGCUCGCGGCCUAUCAGCUUGUUGGUGGGGUGAUGGCCUACCAAGGCGACGACGGGUAGCCGGCCUGAGAGGGCGACCGGCCACGACUGGGACUGAGACACGGCCCAGACUCCUACGGGAGGCAGCAGUGGGGAAUAUUGCACAAUGGGCGGAAGCCUGAUGCAGCGACGCCGCGUGAGGGAUGACGGCCUUCGGGUUGUAAACCUCUUUCAGCUCCGACGAAGCGAAAGUGACGGUAGGGCAGAGAAGCGCCGGCAACUACGUGCCAGCAGCCGC